ACGGAAGGCAGCAGUGGGGGAUCUUGCACAAUGGGGGAAACCCUGAUGCAGCGACGCCGCGUGAGUGAUGAAGGAUUUCGGUAUGUAAAGCUCUAUCAGCAGGGAAGAAAAUGACGGUACCUGACUAAGAAGCACCGGCUAAAUACGUGCCAGCAGCCGCGGUAAUACGUAUGGUGCAAGCGUUAUCCGGAUUUACUGGGUGUAAAGGGAGCGUAGACGGCAUAGCAAGCCAGAUGUGAAAUGCGGGGGCUCAACCCCUGAACUGCAUUUGGAACUGUUGAGCUAGAGUAUAGGAGAGGUAAGUGGAAUUCCUAGUGUAGCGGUGAAAUGCGUAGAUAUUAGGAGGAACACCAGUGGCGAAGGCGGCUUACUGGACGAUAACUGACGCUGAGGCUCGAAAGCGUGGGGAGCAAACAGGAUUAGAUACCCUGGUA
This 434-nucleotide ribosomal RNA is filed under the name uncultured Ruminococcus sp. RNAcentral's name for it is "partial 16S ribosomal RNA". It matches the Rfam family "Bacterial small subunit ribosomal RNA", at positions 341 to 792 of the family's 1533-position model. The record is from RNAcentral. Lineage: Bacteria; Bacillati; Bacillota; Clostridia; Eubacteriales; Oscillospiraceae.